UUGGUCUGAGUGUCUAUCACUCACCUAGAGAAACCGCCCUGGAGGGUGUCGGUCCUCCAGGGAGCGCCAGCCAGCCUGCACUGCACACUGCUCUGCUCCCAGCUCAGGCCUGGGGAGUAGGUCUCUAGGGGGAGCCUAGAGCCGUAGAGCUGUAUGGUAGAUGGUGCCCUGGGUGUAGACACGUGUGGUAGAUUGCUGGUUUCACCAUGGUGUCUGGGGUGUAGACACGUGUGGUAGAUUGCUGGUUUCACCGUGGUGUCCUGGGUGUAGACACGUGUGGUAGAUUGCUGGUUUCACCAUGGUGUCCGGGGUGUAGACAAGUGUGGUAGAUUGCUGGUUUCACCAUGGUGCCCUGGGUGUAGACACAUGUGGUAGAUUGCUGGUUUCACCGUGGUGUCCUGGGUGUAGACACAUGUGGUAGAUUGCUGGUUUCACCAUGGUGUCCCGGGUGUAGACACGUGUGGUAGAUUGCUGGUUUCACCAUGGUGUCCCGGGUGUAGACACGUGUGGUAGAUUGCUGGUUUCACCAUGGUGUCCUGGGUGUAGACAUGUGUGGUAGAUUGCUGGUUUCACCAUGGUGUCCCGGGUGUAGACAGGUGUGGUAGAUUGCUGGUUUCACCGUGGUGUCCUGGGUGUAGACAGGUGUGGUAGAUUGCUGGUUUCACCAUGGUGUCCCGGGUGUAGACACGUGUGGUAGAUUGCUGGUUUCACCAUGGUGUCCCGGGUGUAGACAGGUGUAAUCUGAUUUCACUCGUGAUUGGGCCAGCAUUGUGACGCAGCAGGGUAAGCUGCCUCUUGCGAUGCCCGCAUCCCCUAUCAGAGUCAGGGUUAGAGUCCCAGCCACUGUUCCUGUCCGGCUUCCUGCAGAUACGCCCGGGACGGCAGCGGAGAAUGGCUCAAGUUCUUGUACCCUUGCCACCCGUGUGGGAGAUGGGUGGAGCUCUGACUGCUGGUUUCAGCCUGUGCCAGCCCUGGCCGUGGCCAGCAUCUGGGGAGUGAACCAGAGAUGGAAGAUCUGUCUGUCUGUCUAUCAGUCUCCCUCCCUCCCUCCCUCCCUCCCUCCCUCCCUCCCUCCCUCCCCGCCUUUUAAAUGAAUGAAUCUUUAAGAGAAAAAGCAGCACAGCACUGGUAAAUACAGCAUCAAAAGCAAGACCCCGACCCGGCAUGUCGCGUGUGGACACCCAGAGCUGGCGAAUCAGCGGAGAAAGGCCGUAGUGUGUAGCAGGACUCCUUGCGGGCAGCGUCACCCAACCCCCCCCCCCCCCCCCCCCCGCCGGGCCAGAAUCAGAUGCACUCCAAGUGUAUGGCGUAUGCCUUAUGUGCAGCUCUGGGCAGCACGAACGUGUGGGGAAGCCAGGUGGGGGCAGGGGCAGGGUCCCUGGUCCUGGUGGUGGCCAUGACGCUGCUCAGUGUCUGGUCAGGAUGGACCGCGCCUACAGGGUGCCCGGAGCCCCAGCACUGGCCCCGUGCACUGGCAGCUGUCCACCAGGCACAGAGCUCCAGCGUGACAGUCCAAGCCACCGGUGCUUCCCAGUCUGGUAGGGAGUUCUGCACGGCGCACCUUGGGGAAGGCAGACUCCCUGAGUGACGGCAUCAUGGGUCUCUCCCGGCCCACCUGUAGCCGAGGGGCACUUCGCGUCUUUUCGAAGCCCCAUCCAUGGUUUUGGGGGAAGUAACUGAAAGCCGGGACUGCUUGUCUCUAUCCUGACCCCUCCUGUGUCUGAUGUCCAGCUGCAGAGUCAGGGUCUCUGAGAGGCCCAAUGCCCCCCCCCACACACUCUGCUGGCCUCUGCAGGUCUUGGACAGGGCCUGGAAGCUCCACCCAGCACGGCCAAGGCAUGGAGUUGAAGGAGAGAGGCCACACUCUGGGUUUUGGCAAAGCACUUGAAGGACUUUCGGCCUGGCCCUUGGGGUCCCCAACACUGCUGCUGUGCCGGUGCACACACUCCUGUGUGUGCGAACACUCCUGUGUGUGCAAACACUCUUGUGUGUGAGCACUCCUGUGUGCAAACAGUCGUGUGUGUGAGCACUCCUGUGUGAGCACUCCUGUGUGCGAGCACUCCUGUGUGUGCGAGUACUCCUGUGUGUGCAAACACUCCUGUGUGUGAGCACUCCUGUGUGCAAACACUCCUGUGUGUGAGCACUCCUGUGUGCGAGCACUCCUGUGUGUGUGAGCAUUCCUGUGUGUGCAAACACUCCUGUGUGUGAGCACUCCUGUGUGCGAGCACUCCUGUGUGUGCGAGUACUCCUGUGUGUGCAAACACUCCUGUGUGUGAGCACUCCUGUGUGCAAACACUCCUGUGUGUGAGCACUCCUGUGUGCGAGCACUCCUGUGUGUGUGAGCAUUCCUGUGUGUGCAAACACUCCUGUGUGUGAGCACUCCUGUGUGCAAGCACUCCUAUGUGUGCAAACACUCCUGUGUGUGGAAGCACUCCUGUGUGCAAGCACUCCUAUGUGUGCAAACACUCCUGUGUGUGGAAGCACUCCUGUGUGCAAACACUCCUGUGUGUGAGCACUCCUGUGUGUGCGAGCACUCCUGCGUGUGAGCACUCCUGUGUGUACACCCCUGUGCAUGGGCAAACACUCCUGUGUGCAAGCACUCCUGUGUGCGAGCACUCCUGUGUGUGUGAGCAUUCCUGUGUGUGCAAACACUCCUGUGUGUGAGCACUCCUGUGUGCAAGCACUCCUAUGUGUGCAAACACUGCUGUGUGUGGAAGCACUCCUGUGUGCAAACACUCCUGUGUGUGAGCACUCCUGUGUGUGCGAGCACUCCUGCGUGUGAGCACUCCUGUGUGUACACCCCUGUGCAUGGGCAAACACUCCUGUGUGCAAACACUCCUGUGUGCAAACACUCCUGUGUGCGAGCACUCCUGUGUGUGCAAAGACUCCUGUGUGCGAGCACUCCUGUGUGUGCAAUCACUCCUGUGUGCGAGCACUCCUGUGUGUGAGCACUUGUGUGUGUGCGAGCACUCCUGUGUGCAAACACUCCUGUGUGUGAGCACUCCUGUAUGUGCAGUCACUCCUGUGCGAGCACUCCUGUGUGCGAGCACUCCUGUGUGUGCUAUCACUCCUGUGUGUGAGCACUCCUGUGUAUGAGUACUCCUGUGUGUGAGCACUCCUGUGUGUGCAAGCACUCCUGUGUGCAAACACUCCUGUGCAUGCAUACACUCCUGUGCAUGAGCACUCCUAUGUGCAAGCACUCCUGUGUGUGCGAGCACUCCUGUGUCCAAACACUCCUGUGUCCAAACACUCCUGUGUGUGAGCACUCCUGUGUGUGCGAGCACUCCUGUGUGUGAGCACUCCUGUGUGCAAACACUCCUGUGUGCGAGCACUCCUGCGUGCAAACACUCCUGCGUGCGAGCACUCCUGUGUGUGAGCACUCCUGUGUGUGCAAACACUCCUGUGUGUGAGCACUCCUCUUUGCAAACACUCCUGUGUGUGCAAACACUCCUGUGUAUGAGCACUCCUGUGUGUGAGCACUCCUGUGUGUGCAAGCACUCCUGCGCUGUGUGAACACUAACAUUCCUCUGCACUUGCAAACACUCCUUGUGUGUACACUCCUGUGCAUGGGUAAAUACUCGUGUCUGUGCAAACACUCCUGCGAACACUUUGUGUGUACGCUUGUGUGUGUGCAAACAUUCUUACUGUGUGAGAACACUCCUGUGCAUAGGCAAACACUCUGUGCGUGUGGACACUCCUGUGUGUGCACUCCUGUGUGCAAACAUUCCUAUGUGUGCGAACACUCCUACAUGUGCAAACACUCCUCUGUAUGAACAGUUCUAUGCUUGCCAGUGCCCCUGCUCAGAGUAUACAAAUUUUUGUUUUUGUGCAUACAAUCCUGUGUGGGAACACUCCUCUGUGUGAAUACUCCUGUGUGCUCACCAGUGCUUAUGUGUCUGCAAACACUUCUGCGCCUGUGUGAACACUUGCACUAUGCUUGUGGACACAAUCGUGUGCAUGAACACUGUGUGCAAACACUCCUGUGUAUGUGUGAACUCUCCUUGGUGUGUGCAAACACUCUUCUGUGUGAGCACUCCUGUGUGCUCACCAACAUUCCUGUGAGUGUGCAAACUCCUGUGAGUGUGCAUUGGCUGGCGCCGCGGCUCACUAGGCUCAUCCUCCGCCUGCAGCGCCGGCACACCGGGUUCUAGUCCCGGUCGGGGCGCUGGGUUCUGUCCCGGUUGCUCCUCUUCCAGUAUAGCUCUCUGCUGUGGCCAGGGAGUGCAGUGGAGGAUGGCCCAAGUGCUUGGGCCCUGCACCCCAUGGGAGACCAGGAGAAGCACCUGGCUCCUGGCUUUGGAUCAGUGCGGUGCGCAGGCCGUAGCAGCCAUUUGGGGGAUGAACCAACGGAAGGAAGACCUCUCUCUCUGUCUCUCUCUCUGUCUCUCUCUCUCUCUAACUCUGCCUGUCAAAACACACACACACACACACACCUGUGCAUGUGCACACAAUCCUGUGUGUGAAUACGUGUGUGUGUGUGUGUGUGGAGCAGGUUAAGAGCUGUGGCUUGGUUUCAGGGAGACAGCAGAAGGGAACUUCCUUCCACAUCCGGGAAGGAAAGACCCCUGGGAGGCCCCUGCUGGGGCGGCGCUGGUCUCAGGGAAGGGAAGUGGGGUCAGCGGAAUCCCAGGGCAGCAAGGGAGGGCAGGCGCGCAGGUGCUGCUUGGUUCUUUGUUUUUAAACAAUGGCUCAGGAUGUGUGGAAGUGCCAUGUCGUCUGUAAAACAAGUUCACACCACGAUUUUGGAGAGAGUGUGUGCUAAUGUGUGUUUGCUCUCUUGAGGAAAAAGUCUUUUAUGUCUACUUGGAAAAAAGACUAGUUAAGGAAAGACUACUAGUAAAGACCACUGGUUAGCCCUGAAGGCCCCCAAGGCUGUACUCAGCAGAUUCCCUUUUGUGGAGUCAGGGGCUGGCGCUGGCAGGGAUGCCCGUCGGUUAUUGGACGUUCCCAGUCCGUCCUGCGGGAGUGCGGUUACUGCCACUGGGCACAGUCGGUGGAGGAAGGAAGGACGCCCUGCGUGGCGACUCCCAGCGUGGCCGCCCAGCGUGAGCAGGGAGGACACGGCCCCCGGCACAGCCCCCGGCCCUACACGGGAUUCUGCCGCAGCACCUGGAGUUCAUCGCCGGGGGCCCCCAGCACAGCCCCCAGCCCUACACGGGAUUCUGCCGCAGCGCCUGGAGUUCAUGUGAUUUCCAGCGUCUCCCUCGGCAGGGGAGGCUGCAAAAUCAAACGUCAGCCUCGUCCACGCUGGCACCACGCCACACCCUCAAGAAAGACAAAGGACUUGUUUUGUCUAAGAUCUUAUUUAUUUGAGAGGUAGAGUUACAAAGCGAGGGGGGCAGAGAGACAGAGACAGAGAGAGGGAGAGAGAGGGAGGGAGGGAGGGAGGGAGGGAGGGAGGGAGGUCUUCCAUCCGCUGGCUCACUCCCCAAGUGGCUGCAGUGAGCAGAGCUGAGCCGAUCUGAAGCCAGGAGCCAGGAGGACUUGAGCCAUCUUCUGCUGCUUUCUCUGGUGCAUUAGCGGAGAGCUGGAUCAGAAGAGGAGCAACCGGGACAUGAACCGGUGCCCGCGUGGGAUGCUGGUGCUGCUGGCGGAGGCUUAGCCCGCUACACCACAGCACUGGCCCCACAAGUGACUUCUUCAAAGUUGCUGUGAUUAUUUUUUUGAGAGGCAGGCAGAGACUUUCAAUCUGCUAUUCACUCUGCAAAUGUCUGCAACAGCUGGGGCUGGGCCACGCUGAAGCCAGGAGCCAGACUUCCAUCCAGGUUUCCCGUGAGUGACAGUUACCUCAGUAUUUGUACUGUCACAUGCUGCCCCCCGCCCCGGCCGGGUGCAUAUAGCAGGAGGCUGGAGUUGGGAGCAAAGCGAGGACUUGAGCCCAGGCACGCUGACAUGGGUGUGGCUGUCACAGCAGUGUCUUCAGCACUGUGCCACGCACCCCAGAGUUAGUUUUGAUUCUUGGGAGUGGAAGGCUGUUUCACUGCCGAGUGCCGUGUCAUCUGCACUCUGAACCCCACCGUCGCUUUUUCUCAUGGGCCCCACCUGUCACGAAGGAGCUGCGGCUCGGACACAGGAGCGUGCCCGCGACAGCACAGGCAGGAACGCUGGUCCCAGCACGAGGUCUGCACGAGCCGAAGGCCCUCCUCUGCAGCCGGCGCCGCCGCUGUCACCACCCCGUGAAGCUGGCUCAGCGCCUAACAGCAGGAAUCCAGCGUGUUGGCCUGAUUCCCUGCUUCUCACUUCAUAAAUGAGGGACAACUCCCCUGAGUCGAUGGAGUCCCACGCAGGUCAGCGUCCAGGUGGCAGCCAGGGUCCAGGACGGUCACGAGCGUCCCCGUGGGGCCGGAUCUGUUGUUGAGUAAGGAAGCUGUGGCUUCAGGGCGGUCAGGUGCCAUUGGAAAGAAGGGCACCCAGGUUUCACUCGCGGUUUGUCUGGGGCCACAAGACCCACGGCCCCAGGUGAACCUGGCAGAGGUCUGUGAGCCCCAGCUACCAUAACAGGUUAGGAGCCCGCCAGGGGAGGCAUAGGAGGCGGUGAGGCAUCUCACCCCGGUCAGAAACACGGAGGAUGCCCACGGGCCGGCCUGAGCAUUCUAUAAGGUAAAGAAUCCAGGAAGUUGCGAUUCUCACGUAAGUCAGCCAUCCUCAGAGUCCUGGAGAGAGCGGGCGUUCUGCUGGGUUCCCACGUGCAGACCGCAGAAAAUGCACUUCAUUCAAGGCUCGGGCGUUGAUGCCCUGUAUCCAGGAUCAGGCGUCUCUGCUAACUGCAGAUAAAGGGAUUGGAACCUGAGUGAGGUCCAUGUGCGCUGUGUCAGGGAGCUGGAUCCUGGGUGAGGUGAGUGUGCACUGUGUCAGGGAGCUGGAUCCUGGGUGAGGUGAGUGUGCACUGUGUCAGGGAGCUGGAUCCUGGGUGAGGUGAGUGUGCGCUGUGUCAGGGAGCUGGAUCCUGGGUGAGGUGAGGUGAGUGUGCGCUGUGUCAGGGAGCUGGAUCCUGGGUGAGGUGAGGUGAGUGUGUGCUGUGUCAGGGAGCUGGAUCCUGGGUGAGGUGAGUGUGCACUGUGUCAGGGAGCUGGAUCCUGGGUGAGGUGAGUGUGUGCUGUGUCAGGGAGCUGGAUCCUGGGUGAGGUGAGUGUGUGCUGUGUCAGGGAGCUGGAUCCUGGGUGUGUGAGUGUGCACUGUGUCAGGGAGCUGGAUCCUGGGUGAGGUGAGGUGAGUGUGCACUGUGUCAGGGAACUGGAUCCUGGGUGAGGUGAGUGUGCGCUGUGUCAGGGAGCUGGAUCCUGGGUGAGGUGAGGUGAGUGUGCGCUGUGUCGGGAGCUGGAUCCUGGGUGAGGUGAGGUGAGUGUGUGCUGUGUCAGGGAGCUGGAUCCUGGGUGAGGUGAGUGUGCGCUGUGUCAGGGAGCUGGGUCCUGGGUGAGGUGAGUGUGCACUGUGUUGGGGAGCUGGAUCCUGGGUGAGGUGAGUGUGCGCUGUGUCAGGGAGCUGGGUCCUGGGUGAGGUGAGUGUGCGCUGUGUCAGGGAGCUGGAUCCUGGGUGAGGUGAGGUGAGUGUGCGCUGUGUCGGGAGCUGGAUCCUGGGUGAGGUGAGGUGAGUGUGCACUGUGUCAGGGAACUGGAUCCUGGGUGAGGUGAGUGUGCACUGUGUCAGGGAGCUGGAUCCUGGGUGAGGUGAGUGUGCGCUGUGUCAGGGAGCUGGAUCCUGGGUGAGGUGAGGUGAGUGUGUGCUGUGUCAGGGAGCUGGAUCCUGGGUGAGGUGAGUGUGUGCUGUGUCAGGGAGCUGGAUCCUGGGUGAGGUGAGUGUGUGCUGUGUCAGGGAGCUGGAUCCUGGGUGAGGUGCGUGUGCGCUGUGUCAGGGAGCUGGAUCCUGGGUGAGGUGCGUGUGCACUGUGUCAGGGAGCUGGAUCCUGGGUGAGGUGAGGUGAGGUGAGUGUGCGCUGUGUCAGGGAGCUGGAUCCUGGGUGAGGUGAGUGUGCGCUGUGUCAGGGAGCUGGAUCCUGGGUGAGGUGAGUGUGCGCUGUGUCAGGGAGCUGGAUCCUGGGUGAGGUGAGUGUGCGCUGUGUCAGGGAGCUGGAUCCUGGGUGAGGUGAGUGUGCGCUGUGUCAGGGAGCUGGAUCCUGGGUGAGGUGAGUGUGCGCUGUGUCAGGGAGCUGGAUCCUGGGUGAGGUGAGUGUGCACUGUGUCAGGGAGCUGGAUCCUGGGUGAGGUGAGUGUGCGCUGUGUCAGGGAGCUGGAUCCUGGGUGAGGUGAGGUGAGUGUGCACUGUGUCAGGGAGCUGGAUCCUGGGUGAGGUGAGGUGAGUGUGUGCUGUGUCAGGGAGCUGGAUCCUGGGUGAGGUGAGUGUGCACUGUGUCAGGGAGCUAGGUCCUGGGUGAGGUGAGUGUGUGCUGUGUCGGGGAGCUGGAUCCUGGGUGAGGUGAGUGUGCGCUGUGUCAGGGAGCUGGAUCCUGGGUGAGGUGAGGUGAGUGUGCGCUGUGUCAGGGAGCUGGAUCCUGGGUGAGGUGAGUGUGCACUGUGUCAGGGAGCUGGAUCCUGGGUGAGGUGAGUGUGCGCUGUGUCAGGGAGCUGGAUCCUGGGUGAGGUGAGUGUGCGCUGUGUCAGGGAGCUGGAUCCUGGGUGAGGUGAGUGUGCGCUGUGUCGGGAGCUGGAUCCUGGGUGAGGUGAGGUGAGUGUGCACUGUGUUGGGGAGCUGGAUCCUG
Molecule: non-coding RNA, 8695 nt
Organism: Oryctolagus cuniculus (rabbit)
Lineage: Eukaryota; Metazoa; Chordata; Mammalia; Lagomorpha; Leporidae
Source: RefSeq, a predicted model, not a curated record